This is a long non-coding RNA of Anguilla rostrata (American eel), 1095 nucleotides long. RefSeq lists it as uncharacterized. The transcript has 3 exons. The record is from RefSeq and is a predicted model, not a curated record. Lineage: Eukaryota; Metazoa; Chordata; Actinopteri; Anguilliformes; Anguillidae.
AUUUUUCAAUUGUAGACUAUAGACUAGCCAGGCACUAGUUAGCGUGCUAUUCCAGUAACAUUAUGUCUAACGAGCAGACCAUAUUCUGAUGAACUAGCAAACUAAAUUCUAGCUAAUGUUAAGUAUCUAGCAGGACAUUACAAACAAUGUCACGAUUGAUUAAUUCUUUCAUUAAUGUCAAUGUGAUAGCUAUCGAUAUCUUUUAACGAUGGCUGUCCUUCCUAACGUUAGCUAGCCGGCCUUUUGAUACUAGUUAGCCUACCUAUCUAAGUAUCAUUCAAUAAAUAAUGUGACUUGGGUUACGGACGAUUCCCUAAGUGUCAGAUACUGUAAGUUGUUGAAGUGUAACAACUCAAACUGAGGUUGGCUCUGCAUUCGCCAUUUUGAUGGAAACGUCUUCUCUGUCACUACCAGCCAAGCAAAUUGUAGACCUACUAAACUUUUUAAUACUUUGAAGUACGUUUAGAAGUAAAACCUUUUGAAACUUUCACUCAAGUGUAUUUUCAGCGAGAUACUACUUGAAUUUUAAUUAAGUAAGGUGUACCCAUGCUUAACGUGAUAGCAUAAUUUCUGGGUACUUUUUUCAUCUCGGCAUGCAGAUACUUCUGGAUCUUCAUCCAGAGAGUAUGGAACUCAACCAGGCCCAGUGUGGAACUUCCAUCUUUCUGCAAACUGUCAAGAUGGCGUAUCCGAUGGUGUUGAGGUCGGUGCCAAAACUCUUAUCCUUUCGGCCGUCCUUCUGCAUGAGCCCCACCAGGAGGGUGCAGCCAUCUUCAUCCAGGGGGUCAUCGUCCUCAUCCUCCAGCGUGAUGGCAAACUGGGGGUUGGAGGAGAAGGUGGCUGUGGAGGGGAUAGAUGAGCAGAAUGAGGUUUUAAGGGGGGAUUAUGCCAAUACACAUUUUUACCCUUUGUCCUAAUUUUGGUAUGAAUGCAAUGAUAUAUUUCUGAUGCCUACUGCAAGGCCUGGUUUCUUAAGCUUGUACAUGUGUAGUUUCUGAAGCUUGUACCUGUGUGGUUUCUAAAGCUUGUACCUGUGUGGUUUCUAAAGCUUGUACCUGUGUGGUUUCUGAAGCUUGUACCUGUGUGGUUUCUGAA